Molecule: ribosomal RNA, 506 nt
Filed under: uncultured bacterium
Lineage: Bacteria
Description: partial 16S ribosomal RNA
Rfam family: Bacterial small subunit ribosomal RNA
Source: RNAcentral
GAUGAACGCUAGCUACAGGCUUAACACAUGCAAGUCGAGGGGUAACGAGAGGAAAGCUUGCUUUCCUUGUCGACGACCGGCGCACGGGUGAGUAACGCGUAUCCAACCUGCCCCCAACUAGGGAAUAACCUUGCGAAAGUAAGACUAAUACCCUAUAAUCUCCUCAGAUGUCAUCUGACGAGGAAUAAAGAUUUAUCGGUUGUGGAUGGGGAUGCGUCUGAUUAGCUUGUUGGAGGGGUAACGGCCCACCAAGGAAACUAUCAGUAGGGGUUCUGAGAGGAAGGUCCCCCACAUUGGAAAUGAGCCACGGACCACACUACUACGGGAGGCAGCAGUGAGGAAUAUUGGUCAAUGGGCGGAAGCCUGAACCAGCCAAGUAGCGUGCAAGAUGACGGCCCUAUGGGUUGUAAACUGCUUUUAUACAGGAAUAAAGUUAGCCACGUGUGGUUAUUUGUAGGUACUGUAUGAAUAAGGACCGGCUAAUUCCGUGCCAGCCGCCGCCGUAA